Molecule: small RNA, 166 nt
Filed under: Hoyosella subflava
Lineage: Bacteria; Bacillati; Actinomycetota; Actinomycetes; Mycobacteriales; Hoyosellaceae
Description: Amycolicicoccus subflavus c-di-AMP sequence
Rfam family: c-di-AMP riboswitch aptamer (ydaO/yuaA leader)
About the family: This family represents a conserved RNA structure found upstream of the ydaO and yuaA genes in Bacillus subtilis and related genes in other bacteria.
Source: RNAcentral
GAAGGUCAGCCGCCUAAUCAGUGCCCGCACGAAGCGAGCACUGAACCGGGGAACCACGUUUCCACUGGGGUGAAUCCCGCGCCGGACUUGACACCGGAUGUGGGUAGGGCCGUCUUCCAGGCCCGAACCCGUCAGCUAACUCGGUCGGCGGUCGAUGGAAGAAACA